Molecule: ribosomal RNA, 298 nt
Filed under: uncultured bacterium
Lineage: Bacteria
Description: partial 16S rRNA
Rfam family: Bacterial small subunit ribosomal RNA
Source: RNAcentral
AGGGUUUGAUUAUGGCUCAGAACGAACGCUGGCGGCAUGCCUAACACAUGCAAGUCGAACGAGCCCUUCGGGGUUAGUGGCGCACGGGUGCGUAACGCGUGGGAAUCUGCCCUUGGGUUCGGAAUAACUCGCCGAAAGGCGUGCUAAUACCGGAUGAUGUCGAAAGACCAUAGAUUUAUCGCCCAAGGAUGAGCCCGCGUAAGAUUAGGUAGUUGGUGAGGUAAAGGCUCACCAAGCCGACGAUCUUUAGCUGGUCUGAGAGGAUGAUCAGCCACACUGGGACUGAGACACGGCCCAG